UACGUAGGUGGCGAACGUUGUCCGGAUUCACUGGGCGUAAAGCGCGCGCAGGCGGGUUAGUAAGUCUGAGGUGAAAGCUCCCGGCUCAACUGGGAGAAGCCCUUGGAUACUGCUAGCCUUGAGACACUUAGAGGAGAGUGGAAUUCCCGGUGUAGUGGUGGAAUGCGUAGAUAUCGGGAGGAACACCAGUGGCGAAAGCGGCUCUCUGGGAGUGUUCUGACGCUGAGGCGCGAAAGCGUGGGGAGCAAAC
RNAcentral lists this ribosomal RNA (250 nucleotides) under uncultured bacterium. RNAcentral describes it as "partial 16S ribosomal RNA". It matches the Rfam family "Bacterial small subunit ribosomal RNA", at positions 524 to 773 of the family's 1533-position model. The record is from RNAcentral.